RNAcentral lists this small RNA (125 nucleotides) under Marmota monax (woodchuck). Lineage: Eukaryota; Metazoa; Chordata; Mammalia; Rodentia; Sciuridae. The record is from RNAcentral.
GCUGGGUGCAGUGGUACAUGCCUGUAAUCCCAGCGGCUUGGGAGGCUGAGACAGGAGGAUCACAAGUUCAAAGCCAGCUUCAGCAACAGAGAGGUGCUAAACAACUCAGUGAGACCCUGUCUCUA